RNAcentral lists this ribosomal RNA (250 nucleotides) under uncultured bacterium. Its description in RNAcentral is "partial 16S ribosomal RNA". It matches the Rfam family "Bacterial small subunit ribosomal RNA", at positions 524 to 774 of the family's 1533-position model. The record is from RNAcentral.
UACGGGGGGGCGAGCGUUGUUCGGAAUUACUGGGCGUAAAGGGCGCGUAGGCGGCCUGGGAAGUCCUGGGUGAAAGCCCCCGGCUCAACCGGGGAAGGGCCUGGGAAACCACUGGGCUGGAGUGCUGGAGAGGGUGGCGGAAUUCCCGGUGUAGCGGUGAAAUGCGUAGAGAUGUGGAGGAACACCAAUGGCGAAGGCAGCCUUCUGGGCCAACACUGACGCUCAUGCACGAAAGCGUGGGGAGCAAACA